Molecule: small RNA, 29 nt
Filed under: Bombyx mori (domestic silkworm)
Lineage: Eukaryota; Metazoa; Arthropoda; Insecta; Lepidoptera; Bombycidae
Description: ovarian small RNA-18613
Source: RNAcentral
UAACAGGAAGACCUCCUGCUUUCAAGAGC